Molecule: ribosomal RNA, 508 nt
Filed under: uncultured fungus
Lineage: Eukaryota; Fungi
Description: SSU rRNA
Rfam family: Eukaryotic small subunit ribosomal RNA
Source: RNAcentral
AGCAGCCGCGGUAAUUCCAGCUCCAAUAGCGUAUAUUAAAGUUGUUGCAGUUAAAAAGCUCGUAGUUGAAUUUCGGGGUCAGCAGGUUGGUCGUGCCUCUGGUAUGCACUGGUUUCGCUGAUUCCUCCUUUCUGAAGAACUGUAAUGUCAUUAAUUUGGUGUUGCAGGGAAACAGGACUGUUACUUUGAAAAAAUUAGAGUGUUUAAAGCAGGCUAACGCUUGAAUACAUUAGCAUGGAAUAAUGAAAUAGGACGUUUGAUUCUAUUUUGUUGGUUUCUAGGAUCGACGUAAUGAUUAAUAGGGAUAGUUGGGGGCAUUAGUAUUCAAUUGUCAGAGGUGAAAUUCUUGGAUUUAUUGAAGACUAACUACUGCGAAAGCAUUUGCCAAGGAUGUUUUCAUUAAUCAAGAACGAAAGUUAGGGGAUCGAAGACGAUCAGAUACCGUCGUAGUCUUAACCAUAAACUAUGCCGACUAGGGAUCGGAUGAUGUUAAUUUUUUAAUGNCUCA